AAAAUCCGUCGACUUCAAAAAUCGUGAGGGUUCAAGUCCCUCUAUCCCCAAAAAG
RNAcentral lists this transfer RNA (55 nucleotides) under Procris curtisii. RNAcentral's name for it is "Elatostema curtisii partial tRNA-Leu". The record is from RNAcentral. Lineage: Eukaryota; Viridiplantae; Streptophyta; Magnoliopsida; Rosales; Urticaceae.